This is a long non-coding RNA of Carassius auratus (goldfish), 307 nucleotides long. RefSeq lists it as uncharacterized. The record is from RefSeq and is a predicted model, not a curated record. The transcript is spliced from 4 exons. Lineage: Eukaryota; Metazoa; Chordata; Actinopteri; Cypriniformes; Cyprinidae.
UCAUCCAUUUCGAAAAGUAAAGCAGAUACGGACCCUUGGCCUACCGUCUAAUAGCGUUCAUUCAGAUUCAAACACUGGAGCGGAGGGAGUUGCCAUGGAAACGGGGCGAUCAACAACAUGGGCAAGCUGGGCUCUCCGUGUCUCACUGCUGUUUUCACUGCUUUUGAAAUGGUUUUCGAACAAGUCCGUUAUCAGAUGAGAUUCUUCUAGUGCUUGAUGGCCUUCUGCAUCCCAGAGUCUGAGCAAACCUCCUGUCCAACAACCUCUCCAUGCUGUAUUUUCAGCAUCAGUCCUCCAGUCUUCAGUC